CGACUCUAGGCUUGCUGGAGGCACCGGGGGCGCUAUGCGGAAGGACUCCUCCCCUCCCCGGCUCUGAGCUAGGGUGUUGUUACCAGAGCCGGGGAGGAGGGGCGACGAGGACACCUCUGCGAGAGCACCGGCUGAGGGGCCAACGGUCAGCAGGAGCCGGACACGCACACGUCCUCGCCGCUUCCCUCAGGGACUGGAAGCAGGCGCGGGUGGGGCGGGGAGUGGAGGGACGGUGCGCGUCCGGAGGCCAUUGCGCAUGCGCGCGGCGGCCCGUGCGCCUUUGCGAGAGGCUAGACUUGGGACCGCCGGACCCCCGGCGACGCCGGGCGCGCUUCUCCCAGCGCUGAGCGGGAGGGAGCGCGCCCCUUGCGCUUUGACAGGUGCUUUGACGUGGGAACCUUGAGGUGUUUUCCUUACCCGCUCUUAAAACUGUAAAGCCGGCAGCCUGGAAAGACCGCUAAAGCUCAUCUCGACCAACCACCUCGUUUUUAAUUUGUGGGGCGACUGAGAAGACGGGAAGUGACGGAGGUGCAGCGCGGAGGGGUCCCAGCUGGAGCCUAUGCUGUAUGUCCUUAGGAUUCAAGCAUUGCUGGAGGACUGGUGGAGCAGGACUUCAGGACUCUAUUUAUAUGUAGCUCCUGGAGUAUCUUAGGAAAGAAGCCAUCCUAAGAGAGAGCUGAGUCCCCAAGCCUGGUUCAAGGAUGUGAGCCACUGUCAGAAAGGAGAAGAAAUGGUGAAAGCAUCAUGGUCUCUGUCAUUUAGAUCAGCCUCCAGCUCAGCCUUCAUGGAUUCCUGCCUCUGUCAUAAGGAAUAAUCCACUACUGAGGACCCAAUGCCCCACAAAGUGAACCUUGGCCUCCCACAGAAGAACACUUUAAGGAGCUACCAACUCACCUUUGCUCUAGUGCAGUACCCAUAUUAUGGGUGGUAAGAGUCCUGAAUCAGUCUUUUGCCAACGACAGAUGGGUCGACUACAACAAAUGGACAGUUUGCACAUGAGACUUAAUGUACAACUCCUUGUUUGUUUUUCUUUGACAGUGGAAGGACAUUGGACCUGACAUACAGAAGUCUCUCAGUAAAGAUUUGCUGUUUUUGAAAUUCCAUGGACACUGAAAGGCCUAGAAGCAUUAAAACCCCAUGGACAAUGGGCAACCUCUAGUGCCCAGACUGUGGUCCCUGAAUGACAUUCGGCAUUUAAAGGAACCAGGAUCUUCCAUGGCUGAUUCCAAGUUUGGGGCAGUAUAUGUACAAGAUAAGGUUUACACAUCUUGAGGAGCCCAAAACUAUGAAGUUACCAAAGAUCGGUGGGUUUUAUCAAAAGGACUCAAGAGCCAACAUGAAGGGGCUCCAAAUGGUCAAAGAUGGGAUAAUUCAAGUAGCUGUCCAGUUUUCCCAGCACCACUUAUUGAAGAGGCUGACUUUUCUCCAUUGUAUAUUCUUGCCUCCUUUAUCAAAGAGUGAAAAAAAUGGAUGACACCAAUGUAUCUCACAUGGAGGGAACUGUCUUUGUGAAAACUCUUUGAAAUGCCCUGCAGACACAGAUGUCAGCAGAUGCCCAGCUCAGACAAGGGGAAGCUGUUUUGCAUGAAACAAAGAGAGGAAUAUGGUUUAUUGCUUGUGAAAAGGAGGGGGAAGAAAGAAGGUAUUGGUCAACACUCUUGCAAUUGCAAAUGACAGAAAUUUAACUCAAUGUGGCUUAAGGGAAAACCCAGAUAUCUAGUUAGACAUGGUUGGAUUCAGGAAGUCAAACUUUGUCAUCCAUAUUUGCGUUUUCUCUCCAUCUCUUGAUUCUGUUUUCCUUUGUCUUGAUUCACUCUCAAGCAGGCUCUUCACUUGUGCUGGCAAAGAUGGGCACUAGAAAUGCUAGGCUGACCUUUCUACCAGCUCAGUGACCCCAGGGGUAAGAGUCCUUCACUCACCAAGAGUUCCCUCAAGCCUAUCCCUGAAUAGCAGUCUGGCCGGGGAGAUGGAAUGUACCGAUUAUCUGGGUUUCGUCACUUGUUUGGAUCACUGGAAUAGGAUGGGGUCAGCCCUGCUCAAGUCAUUUAGAAGUUCCAAAAAUAAUUUGCAGAGUUCCUGGCAUGGAGCUUCUAGAACUCUUGGAAUUUCCUGAGUGACUAAAGUGUCUUUAUUAUUCAUGAGUCCCUUGGAUCACUCCUGAGUUUAUGCUAAUGAGGGGACUCAUGGUGGGACCCUGCAUAGCUUCAAGAUGGAGACUGGUCACCAGAAAGACCAACCACUGAUUAGAAGGUUGGGACUUUGAGCCAGCCCAACCUCCAGGGAGGGAAGAAGGAUUGGAGAUUGAGUUCAAGCGCAUGGUCCAUGAUUUAAUCAAUGAAACUCCAAUAAACCUUUGGACAGCAAAGCUCAGUGGAGGUUCCUUGUUGGUGAACUCAUGUUGGGAAGAUGAGGUGCCCUCAUCCCAUGGGGAGAGGGCACAGAAGCUCUGUGUUCAGGACCCUUCCAGACCUUGCCCUAUGUGUCUCUUCAUUUGGCUGGUCUGAUUUGUAUCCUUUAAAACUCUAAUUGUAAGUAUAGUGCUAUCCUCAGUUUUGUGUCAUUCUGCUGAAUUAUAGAACUUGAGGGGGGUUGGAGGAACCCUCUGGAUUUGUAGCCAGUUGGUUGGAAGUAUGGGUGGCCUGGGCCCGCACUUGCUCCUGGUGUCUGGAGUGGGGGCAGUCUUGUUGGGUCCUGUGCCCUUACAGCUGUGGAGUCUGACAAUAACUCUGGUUGCUUAGUGUCAGAAUUGAAAUUGCAGCACAAUAGAUGAUGUCAGAAUAGUUGGGGUUGAAACAGAAUAGGACUGAGUCUGGAUCCAUGCACUGCAGAACAGUGGAAGAGGUGUGGAGCCAGGAGCCUAGAGGCCAGGUGGUUAUGAUAACAGAAGAUCACUGGGAAGAAACUGAAAUCUUGAAGAGGGCUUUGGAUUUUCACAAGAUAGGGAGUUGGAGAGAAGAGGAGUUUAAGCCAAUUUUAUCUCAACCUUUCAGAAGAGGAGGGUCCCCAGCUGAACUGAGUUACAUACAUUCAUCUUUGCUAUAAGAAUAUGUGUUCACAGGUUUUCACUUUUAUGCAGUGAUUACAGCUACUUUUUCCAAGUGAACAAACUUCUUUCACUCACUUACGGUCAGACUCACUUAUCUUACACAUGUGCAUUCAAAGGCCUUCCAGUCACUCUCAGAGCCAGGUGUAGAAGCAGAGAAUGGAAGUGCUGGCUGAUGCAGGAUAGUGGAUUUGUAAGGCGAGUGCAAGAAAAAGUCAAGAGGGCAAAAUACAUCAACGAGGAUGUGUCUGUUCUGUCUGUAAAAGCCCCAAAUGCCAGAAAGUUCAGUGGUGUGUGUGUGUGUGUGGUGGCAGCACAUAUCAACUCAAUGUUUUAGGGAGCAGGGUGAACUCAGGACCAUAUCAGCUCACAUAAAUUAACAUUCCCACUUCUGGCUGGUUUGAUGAAUACUUCUGGUUCAUAAGUCAAUGUGUGAGUUUUCCCAUAGAGCAGGCCCUCCACAAAAACCUAAUUGUAUUUUCCUCACGAAUAAUCACUGAGAAUGGUUGAGUCUUAUUCCCUUUGUCUUUUGUUUUUAAACCAGGGUUAAUAAUAAAAUAAACUUGAGUUUAGUUUUAAUAAGCCAUCAUCACAAUCAGGAUCAUAAACAUAUCUGUCACCCCCAAAGCUUUUGGUGCCCUUUGUGAUCUCCCUCCCACUCUUUCUCCCAAACCCAGACAACAACUGAUCUCCUUUCUGUCACUAUAGAUUUGUUCACAUUUUCUAGAAUAUUUUAUCAAUGGAAUCAUAUGCUAUAUAUUCUUUUUUAAAUAUGUCUUCUUUCACUCAGCAUAAUUUGUUGAGAUUCAUAAAUUGUUCAUUCUUUUUUAUUGCUGAGUAGUAUUCCAUUGUAUGGAUAUACCUCAAUUUGUUUAUCCAUUCACUUGUUGAUGAACAUUGGUACAAUUUGAUAAGUUUUGAUGUACAUAUACACACGUGGAGCCAUUGCUCCAACCAAAAUACCCAUCACCACCAAAAGUUUAUCUCCAGUGUUUGGCUAUUACAAAUAAA
Balaenoptera ricei (Rice's whale) is the source of this 4054-nucleotide long non-coding RNA. RefSeq lists it as uncharacterized. The transcript has 8 exons. NCBI's taxonomy places the organism in Eukaryota, Metazoa, Chordata, Mammalia, Artiodactyla, Balaenopteridae. The record is from RefSeq and is a predicted model, not a curated record.